Gossypium raimondii (Peruvian cotton) is the source of this 1386-nucleotide long non-coding RNA. RefSeq lists it as uncharacterized. The record is from RefSeq and is a predicted model, not a curated record. The transcript has 6 exons. Lineage: Eukaryota; Viridiplantae; Streptophyta; Magnoliopsida; Malvales; Malvaceae.
AAUUUCCCCCCUGAAAUCCCUAAUCUUCCCAUGGCCGACAAUAUUUUCUCAUAGAAAAUAUUUUAUUCUCCCUCCAUGUUCCAAUCUUUUUAGUUCCCUUCCCAUUACAAAACAGUUUUCCAUUCCAAACCCUAACAAACGUUUAACAAAAAAACACCCUUCUUCAUCGUUUUGAACUCCUCCAUCGUUUUCUCUACUUCCCCUCCUUCUUCUGCUCUCCAAUGGCUAUCCCCGCCGCAAACGUUUAACAAAAAAACACCCUUUUGUUUAUACCCAAUGCCAAUGUAUCCACGCGCGUUCCAUUUUCCCGUGUCAAGACACUCCCGCGGCGAGAAUCCGUUGCUCUGCUUUGCUCAAAGUCCCUCGAAAGUUAUCCGCCGUUUCAAGUGAAUACUUUUCAUUCUUCCUUUAAUUUUUGCCUAACAAUAAGCUCAUCACUCCGUCAAUCUUGUUUGUCGUUUUCAAAUAGACCCCUUAUUUUUGUUGGAGAUGUUGGGGCUGUUGCAGGGAUAAGAUGAGGUCAUCGAGGAAGAAUCAAGCGUCGUCAAGCAGCGGAGGUGGAGGAGGUGAAGGGAAUCAAGACGGGAUUACGGAUGAAGAAGCUCUUUCCAAUAUCACCAAACAAAAAGUCGCUGCUGCCAAGCAGUAUAUUGAGAAUCAUUACAAGGAACAGAUGAAUCUUCAAGACAGAAAAGAGAGCAGAAGCAUGAGGCAGGGUUUGCUAUCAAGUGGUCUAUUGACGAACAUUAUAUAUUGGAGGACAGCCUUGAAAAGUAUAAAGAUGAGCCAAGUAUUAUGAAGUACAUAAAGAUUGCAGCUACCUUGCCUGAUAAAACUGUACGUGAUGUUGCAUUGAGGUGUUGAUGGAUGCAAGCCCAUGCAUGAAGUUACAUUUUCAACACAAGACAAAACCAAAACUUCUUAGUCAGUUAGUGAAUCCGGAGAGUGGCUAUAAUUAUAGAGCUGUCAAAAGAUAGACUUCACAAAGGAAGCUGGGUUACUGCCUAUUGGACUGUGAUAAAGAGCACAUGCCCUAUGCCAUAUUUUCGUUUAAGGACCGCCAAGGAAAUUCUGAAACUGAAAGCUGAUUGAUCGGAUGUGUAUGUCGACUUUCAUCAACUACUUUCGAAGGCCUUACUAGGAAUUGAAAUGGUGUGCAAAGAGAUCGCUUCUUCUGAUAUGAUUUUUCAAAAUAAAUACUGGACAAAGUAUGGAUAUUUCUUGUCAGUUGCAUUUACUGCUAUUAGUAAAAUAGGAUUUUCUUCUUGAUCUUAGUUUCUUCACUUGUAUUAGACUCAACAAUGGCUUACAUUGCAUUGGUGUUGAUUUUACCUAAAUUUCGAGGUUUACAAUUUUUAAUUUUUAUUAAUUAUUUACGUUUUCUCA